Molecule: ribosomal RNA, 304 nt
Filed under: uncultured bacterium
Lineage: Bacteria
Description: partial 16S ribosomal RNA
Rfam family: Bacterial small subunit ribosomal RNA
Source: RNAcentral
CAGCAGUAGCCGCGGUAAAACGUAGGUGGCGAGCGUUGUCCGGAUUUAUUGGGCGUAAAGGGAGUGUAGGCGGUCUUUUAAGUCUGAUGUGAAAGCCCACGGCUCAACCGUGGAGGGUCAUUGGAAACUGGGAGACUUGAGUGCAGAAGAGGAGAGCGGAAUUCCAUGUGUAGCGGUGAAAUGCGUAGAUAUAUGGAGGAACACCAGUGGCGAAGGCGGCUCUCUGGUCUGUAACUGACGCUGAGGCUCGAAAGCGUGGGGAGCAAACAGGAUUAGAUACCCGUGUAGUCCCUGUCUCUUAUAC